GCCUCUAUGGCGCAGUGGAAAGCGCGUUGGACUUCUAAUCCAAAGGUCGCGGGUUCGAGUCCCGCUAGAGGUA
Molecule: transfer RNA, 73 nt
Filed under: Clunio marinus
Lineage: Eukaryota; Metazoa; Arthropoda; Insecta; Diptera; Chironomidae
Rfam family: tRNA
About the family: Transfer RNA (tRNA) molecules are approximately 80 nucleotides in length. Their secondary structure includes four short double-helical elements and three loops (D, anti-codon, and T loops). Further hydrogen bonds mediate the characteristic L-shaped molecular structure. tRNAs have two regions of fundamental functional importance: the anti-codon, which is responsible for specific mRNA codon recognition, and the 3' end, to which the tRNAs corresponding amino acid is attached (by aminoacyl-tRNA synthetases). tRNAs cope with the degeneracy of the genetic code in two manners: having more than one tRNA (with a specific anti-codon) for a particular amino acid; and 'wobble' base-pairing, i.e. permitting non-standard base-pairing at the 3rd anti-codon position.
Source: Rfam by way of RNAcentral